GACGAACGCUGGCGGCGUGCCUAAUACAUGCAAGUAGAACGCACAGUUUAUACCGUAGCUUGCUACACCAUAGACUGUGAGUUGCGAACGGGUGAGUAACGCGUAGGUAACCUGCCUGGUAGCGGGGGAUAACUAUUGGAAACGAUAGCUAAUACCGCAUAAUAUUAAUUAUUGCAUGAUAAUUAAUUGAAAGGUGCAAUUGCACCACUACCAGAUGGACCUGCGUUGUAUUAGCUAGUAGGUGAGGUAACGGCUCACCUGGGCGACGAUACAUAGCCGACCUGAGAGGGUGAUCGGCCACACUGGGACUGAGACACGGCCCAGACUCCUACGGGAGGCAGCAGUAGGGAAUCUUCGGCAAUGGACGAAAGUCUGACCGAGCAACGCCGCGGGAGUGAAGAAGGUUUUCGGAUCGUAAAGCUCUGUUGUAAGAGAAGAACGGGUGUGAGAGUGGAAAGUUCACACUGUGACGGUAUCUGACCAGAAAGGGACGGCUAACUACGUG
RNAcentral lists this ribosomal RNA (505 nucleotides) under uncultured bacterium. RNAcentral describes it as "partial 16S ribosomal RNA". It matches the Rfam family "Bacterial small subunit ribosomal RNA", at positions 28 to 507 of the family's 1533-position model. The record is from RNAcentral.